This 498-nucleotide ribosomal RNA is filed under the name uncultured bacterium. RNAcentral's name for it is "bacterial SSU rRNA". It matches the Rfam family "Bacterial small subunit ribosomal RNA", at positions 8 to 518 of the family's 1533-position model. The record is from RNAcentral.
AGAGUUGAUCAUGGCUCAGGAUGAACGCUGGCGGCGCGCUAACACAUGCAAGUCGAACGGUUAAGGCACCCUCGGGUGCGAAUAGAGUGGCGAACGGCUGAGUAACACGUGGGCAACCUGCCCCCCGCACCGGGAUAGCCUCGGGAAACCGUGGGUAAUACCGGAUACUCCGGGACCUCCGCAUGGCGGUCCCGGGAAAGCAAUGCACGGCGGGGGAUGGGCCCGCGGCCUGUUAGCUCGUUGGCGGGGUAACGGCCCACCAAGGCGAUUAUGGGUAGCCGGGUUGAGAGACCGACCGGCCAGAUUGGGACUGAGACACGGCCCAGACUCCUACGGGAGGCAGCAGUGGGGAAUCUUGCACAAUGGGCGAAAGCCUGAUGCAGCCGACGCCGCGUGCGGGAAGAAGGCAUUCGUGUUGUAAACCGCUUUCAGCAGGGACGAGGCGCAAGUGACGGUACCUGCAGAAGAAGCCCCGGCUAACUACGUGCCAGCCGCGGC